Molecule: ribosomal RNA, 346 nt
Filed under: uncultured eukaryote
Lineage: Eukaryota
Description: SSU rRNA
Rfam family: Eukaryotic small subunit ribosomal RNA
Source: RNAcentral
AUAGCGUAUAUUAAAGUUGUUGCAGUUAAAAAGCUCGUAGUUGGAUUUCUGCUGAAGACAGCCGGUCCGCCUUCGGGUGUGUACCAGGUUCGGCUUCGGCAUUCUUCUGGGGAACGUACGUGCACUUGAGUGUGUGCUACGGUAUCCAGGAAUUUUACUUUGAGAAAAUUAGAGUGUUUCAAGCAGGCAAUCGCCUUGAAUACUGCAGCAUGGAAUAAUAAGAUAGGACUUUAGUCCUAGCUUGUUGGUUUCUGGGACUGAAGUAAUGAUUAAUAGGGAUAGUUGGGGGCAUUCGUAUUUAACUGUCAGAGGUGAAAUUCUUGGAUUUGUUAAAGACGAACUACUG